This 468-nucleotide ribosomal RNA is filed under the name uncultured bacterium. RNAcentral describes it as "partial 16S ribosomal RNA". It matches the Rfam family "Bacterial small subunit ribosomal RNA", at positions 28 to 507 of the family's 1533-position model. The record is from RNAcentral.
GACGAACGCUGGCGGCGUGCUUAACUCAUGCAAGUCGAACGGAAAGGCCCUGCUUUUGUGGGGUGCUCGAUUGGCGAACGGGUGAGUAACACGUGAGUAACCUGCCCUUGACUUUGGGAUAACUUCAGGAAACUGGGGCUAAUACCGGAGAGGAGCUCCUGCUGCGUGGUGGUGGUUGGAAAGUUUCGGCGGUUGGGGAUGGACUCGCGGCUUAUCAGCUUGUUGGUGGGGUAGUGGCUUACCAAGGCUUUGACGGGUAGCCGGCCUGAGAGGGUGACCGGCCACAUUGGGACUGAGAUACGGACCAGACUCCUACGGGAGGCAGCAGUGGGGAAUAUUGCACAACGGGCGGAAGCCUGAUGCAGCAACGCUGCGUGCGGGAUGACGGCUUUCGGGUUGUAAACCGCUUUCGCCUGUGACGAAGCGUGAGUGACGGUAAUGGGUCAAGAAGCACCGGCUAACUACGUG